UACUAUCUAUCAUUAAUAGAUUAACUGAGACAUCUUUCUUCCUUAGAACAAAAAAUGUACAGAACUAACGAAAUACAUCCAAGUGGACAAAUAAUAAUUACAUUAAGCAUGUUAUUUUUAAAUACAAUGGUGGCAAUGAGAUUUAAACACCACCUCAUGCAAAAGCAGGCUCCAAAUUUAUUAGCGGUUUGAAGAAAUUAGAUGUCUAAUUCUAAGCCAUGCUUUUAAUUUAGACUACAAAUGGCAUGUGAUCUAGGAAUUAAGAAUUAUAAUAUGGUUUUGGUAAAAAAAAAAAGAAUUAUAAUAUGGUUGUGGAUUUGACACUUUGCAACCGUGCCAUAAAUGAUGUAACUUAAGAAUCAUAUACAGAUUGAGUAAACCAUACCCAUUUAUAUUUUGAAAAUGGGACUCAAAUCUUGUACAUCAUCAUAUAUAUCUUCUUGUCCCAAUAUUCCUCAAUGUCAUUUUCUUUUAAAAAUAAUAUAUGAUACACAUUUGAAUCUUGAUAAUUGAGAAUGGUCUUAUUGUAUAGUCUUCAAUACAUGAAUGUGACUUGUGGAAUAUUGAUGUGCCUUCACGUCAAAUUUGUCAAACUUGCGUUUAUGAUUGGGUUUUGAAAUCAAGAAAAAAUCAACAACAUGAUGAAUGAGGCUAAUUAGAAUAAGCACUACACCCAAUUCAAGAUCACCCUUUAUAAUUUCAAAAUAUCCAAAAACCAUAGAGAAAUAAUGAUGCAAAUCCAAUAAGAAAAUUGUUAAGAGUACUAUGCAAAAUGCAAGUAAGAGAAGGAAAAAGAGAAUGAUUAUAGCUAUGAGAAGUACAAAGAAAACAAAUGAGGCAUGGAGAAGGGCAAUGAGAAUGAGAUCUAAGUUUGGGAACAUAUUGAAUUUGAUUUUGAUGAAACAAAUUAUUCAUGUUGGU
Molecule: long non-coding RNA, 921 nt
Filed under: Cicer arietinum (chickpea)
Lineage: Eukaryota; Viridiplantae; Streptophyta; Magnoliopsida; Fabales; Fabaceae
Description: long non-coding RNA (CARI_LNC001261)
Source: RNAcentral